GAUGAACGCUGGCGGCGUGCCUAACACAUGCAAGUCGAACGAACAGACGAGGAGCUUGCUCCCCUGACGUUGUCGGCGGACGGGUGAGUAACACGUGGUUAACCUACCUAUAAGACUGGGAUAACUACGGGAAACCGGAUCUAAUACCGGAUGAUAUAUUGACCCUCAUGGUUCAAUAGUGAAAGACGGUUUUGCUGUCACUUAUAGAUGAAUCCGCGCCGCAUUAGCUAGUUGGUAAGGUGACGGCUUACCAAGGCUACGAUGCGUAGCCGACCUGAGAGGGUGGUCCGCCACACGGGAACUGAGACACGGUCCAGACUCCGACGGGAGGCCGCAGUAGGGAAUCUUCCGCGAUGGGGGAAAGGCUGAUAGAGCAACACCGCGUGAGUGAUGAAGGUGUUCGGAUCGUAAAGCUCUGUUAGCAGGGAAGAACAAAUGUGUAAGUAACCAUGCACGUAUUGACGGUACCUGAAGAAAAAGCCACGGCUAACUACGUG
RNAcentral lists this ribosomal RNA (497 nucleotides) under uncultured bacterium. Its description in RNAcentral is "partial 16S ribosomal RNA". It matches the Rfam family "Bacterial small subunit ribosomal RNA", at positions 28 to 507 of the family's 1533-position model. The record is from RNAcentral.